Theobroma cacao (cacao) is the source of this 1295-nucleotide non-coding RNA. Lineage: Eukaryota; Viridiplantae; Streptophyta; Magnoliopsida; Malvales; Malvaceae. The record is from RefSeq and is a predicted model, not a curated record.
AUUCAAUGGUGAACCAAAAUUUGAGCUUUCUGGCUAAGGAACGUGAAAGCGAGGUGUCACUAUUCCAACACGGCCUUUCAUGGUGUGAAUGUCUAAUUUCCCAAGCAAAGUUUUAUUGCCAAAUCCAAAGCCAUACCAUAGUUGGUAUCGUCCCAUCUUAUCUUUCCUGGAUAAACCCAAAAAUAAUAAUGAUAGAGGGCAGAGACAUGGCUUAUAAGAAGGAGGCAAUGAAAUAUUGCAGCAGAUCCGAUGUAAAGGGCAUCCUAGUUCUUGCAGGCCCUCUCUUUUAUAAAGGCUUUUGAGAGAUAGAGAGAGAGAGAGAUCAAUGGAGUUGGGGCUCUUCGGACACAGUUCUGUCCCUUGUUCCAUUCCCUUGAGGCUAUUAUUUCUAAUCACAUACGGACGAUUUCCCUAGAUAUACGCAUGUGUGUAGAAUGGAAUGCAUGUUUGCUUAAUUAUGCAUGAAGAAGCUAUACCAGAUAUAUACCAGUGGAGGCGUUGGGGGUAUAACUGGGUUAGAAUGAUUGAAGUUUCGGGGGUUUCAGUCUCUCUCAUAUGGGCUAAACAGGUAAAACAAACAGUAAAAGGCAAAGCAAAGGUAGGUAGUCUUUUAUAUAUAUAUAUUCUCGAACAAGAAGAAAGGUUGUCAAGUUGAGAGAAAAAGAAAUACUAAAAGGAGAAAAGAAAUCAAGGGUUGGGACCUUGGACAUUAUUGUAUGUGCAUUUAUGUAUUGCAUGAAUUGGAUUCGCAAGUUCCAAACCACCUGACGUUUGAUACCAAUGUCUACAGUAAACUCCUCUGUUCUGUGAUCCUGCCACUUGCACGCUUAAAUACAUUUACUUCUCUAUGCUCAUAUAUAUAUAUUUUUUUUCUCUAUGCUCAUAUAUAGCUAGGUAGACUGCAUUUUUUUAGCAACAAAAAAAUUAAAACUUGUAAACUUCUAGACUUGAAGGUUAGGAUAUUAAGGAAUCUGUGCUAGGAUAUCAAGGAGAACUAUUGCUACUGUGGGAGAUCUAAGAUUUGAUUCCUAAUAUCACCCAAUUUCACCGGAAAAGUUAGUCAAUGUCGUAGAGAAUAGGCUGAACAGUAGACUGUCUUGCCAGUUCUGCAGGCCAUCCAUAAUCAACAGGCUAUCUCUCAAAUUAAUAACUGCGCCUCUGCGGCUAACGCCCGCAGAAAUGAGGUAGUAUCUCCAUAGCUUCUACAUUAUUAUGGCUAUAUGUCCUUUACGAGUCAUAACCUGUUGGGUUAGGCAAGUGGGUCUCACCACAAUUGUGCCCCGAACCAGUCCAGG